This 253-nucleotide ribosomal RNA is filed under the name uncultured bacterium. RNAcentral's name for it is "partial 16S ribosomal RNA". It matches the Rfam family "Bacterial small subunit ribosomal RNA", at positions 524 to 776 of the family's 1533-position model. The record is from RNAcentral.
UACGUAGGGGGCAAGCGUUGUCCGGAUUUAUUGGGCGUAAAGAGCGUGUAGGCGGUCAGGUAGGUCCGUUGUGAAAACUCGAGGCUCAACCUCGAGACGCCGAUGGAAACCAUCUGACUAGAGUCCGGAAGAGGAGAGUGGAAUUCCUGGUGUAGCGGUGAAAUGCAUAGAUAUGUCACAGAACACCAAUUGCGAAGGCAGCUUACUAUGGUGGUAUUGACACUGAGGCACGAAAGCGUGGGGAUCAAACAGG